This 554-nucleotide long non-coding RNA is filed under the name Musa acuminata (dwarf banana). RNAcentral's name for it is "long non-coding RNA (MACU_LNC006677)". The record is from RNAcentral. Lineage: Eukaryota; Viridiplantae; Streptophyta; Magnoliopsida; Zingiberales; Musaceae.
AAGAAAACACACAAUCCAAGAAGAUAUGCAACGCUAGACUUGGAUUCAUGUGAUUAAGAAUGUGGCUAAAUCAUCCUAAGCUAAAACAAAUCUCCCCUAACAUCGUAGUCUUCGUUCGGUAGCAUCGACAAAUGUGCAAAGGCAAGAAAAUAUCCUCGAUGUUUAAUUUGUUGCAACGUUGAUAUGGUCAGAAUAUGAUGAUCAUGUUUUAAUUCUUAAUCUCGAAUUGAUCAAUUCAUUCUUUUCUUAAUUUGACACAAUCAAUUCUCAGUGACAACCCUAAUUCUCCAAUUUGAAGUCUUGGAGGAAACUUCUUGUGCUCAGGAGAAACCUUACAAGCAUGGAUGUGGUGGGUGUCUGUCACCUGUUUGAUGAAAAGUCCAGACGGUUCAGUUCUUGGACAAAGAAAUCCAUUCAACUCGCAGUCUUACAAAACACGCAGGAGACUUUGUAUCCAACGCUGACCACGAGAGAAUCUUUGUCUUUCUUGCAGCCUUUGCCCACUGGAGACAGCCAACUCAUCCUUUUGGCCAGGAAAACAAGCUUUAAACCCC